AAUACAGGCAGGCGGGCGGGCACGGCAAGGAAGUCUUGACCUAUAUCUGUUUAUAGGUGACUCACUGUAAAUUAUAUAGUUUAUUGCUUUAAUUUAUUGCAAGCAAUUCUGAAGGGUUCUCUUUUUAAUGUGGUGCAGCAGAAUUUUAACUACCUAAAUAUUGUUACUGCCUCCCCUUCCAUGUAUCCAGACCUGAGCUUUUCAUAGUUCUGAAAUAUGACCAAGUGAAAACAGAGAUCAGAAAUGUCAUUGUAAAAAUAAAUAAAUAAAUAAAGCCACUGUUUCCACCCAUCUGUAAACCCUACUGAGGUUUUUUAAAGGGAAAAAGGACUUGGUGUUAUGCAAACACAUUGGCAUCCCUCUUCUUCUGAGGAGGGCACUUUGAUAGCUAAGGUAGUCCAAACACCUCCAGUCGUCUUGGCCGCUCUGCCGAGGGAGAGGCAUUCCACUGGGCUGCUCCCUUUUCUGUCACAGCUGGCUGCGUGCCUGCUGGCAACUCCGCAGCCUCCAGAGGAACAGCCCUGUGGCUGCACUGGUUGCUGUUGCAAUGAGCAUUUAUUUUCCUUGGAGUGACGGUUUCUGCAUCCAGUGCUUUUGGAGUGGACUGGGAAAACAAGACGUGAGAUUCUUUCUUCUUACAUUAUCCUUGGGAUCCUGAAGAUGAAAGACUGGGAUUUACAAGCUCACUUCGUAGCUUUCUGUACUUCAGCCUCAGUGGACUUCAGACAAUCAUCUGUCUGGCAGCAUGAAUCGUAAGGGUAUCUGCAUUCCUACAUGUCGCUGAAAGGCUUCAGCUCGUGGGCCUGCCCUUCCACCAGCCAGAUGUUUAACCCAUCCAGAAUGUUCAGCUGGUACCAAUCGUUUACAAUCAGUGCUCCAUGGAAGAAAGGCAAAAAGGUCCCACAAGCUGACAGCAAAGUGGUUCUGACAAACGUGAAGAUAAUCAACAAUGAAAAAAAGGAAAACAAAGAGUUAGGAACAGAUCCUCCAGAGUCUUCAAAGGGAACUGGGAUUACUGAAUCCAAUGUAUCACAGCAAGCAGCAAGCCUGGCCAUCUUAAGUGAGGCGUCAGUGCCGUCGGAGGAUGUUGUCGCAAGCCCUGGUCUGAAACAUCUUGUUCCGAGGUUGGUCAAGAUUGAAUCGGAAGACUCCGGUGUGGAGUUGCCAAGCAGAGCCAACUCUCCCUCAACACCCAGGGGCUCCGAAAAGAGCUUUGUGCUCCACAGCAGAGAUUCUUCCUGUGACUCUGGAGUAUUGAGUGCCUCUUCCUCCCCAGCAGCUGACCAUGUAAUCAAGAGAAUGUGCGAAGACACUGUGGAUCACAGCCUGUGCCUUUCAGAUGACAAGAAGCUCACAGGAUACUGCGCAGGGCAAACUUCUGCAGUUUCUGUGGAAGAUAACCUUGACUGUCCAGGGAGAAAAAGUCCUGAAGUGCCUUUUUUUGAUGGGAACCAAGAGGAAUGUUUAGAAGACAAAACCAGUGAAGGAGGCAACAUAGCCAUCACCCUGGCUACAUCUGUAGUAGACAAAAUGCCGCGUGAUGAUUAUGGNAAAGACAGCUUAGAUGAGCUGGUUCUGGAAGGGCAUCCCUUAAGAAAAUAUCCUACAAGUGAUAGCUUAGAUGAAUACAUGGAUGAAUGCUGUAGGCUGAGCAAGGUGAAUCAAGGAAAUGCUAAGGCACUUGGCUCUGGCCUGGGAUAUCUGGAGCACAUUUGCCAACUUAUUGAAAAAAUUGGUCAGCUACAAGAACAUAACCUGCGAUUACAGAAACAAGUCUGCAGCUUGCAAAAGGAGCAGAGAACAAUCCAGCUGAAUGAGGAGUAUUUUCUACAGCACUGCUGCUGUGGUGCUGCCAGCAUUUUCCUCAGUUCACACCAAGAGUUGAAAAAUAUUUUUCCUGGAAAGAGUAGGCCGCAGAGCCUAUUGAUUCAGAAUGGAAAUCUGUCGGACCUUUCAAUCAUUCCAGAAGCAGGAGGAAGCAGUGAAAAAUCAAGCAAAGAAAGAGAUGCUCAACUUGAUCUAGAAAAUAAUUGGCUGAUAAUGAAAUUAAAGUUAUCAAAUGGAAGGAAAAGUGAAGUGAAUGAAUGCAGAGAAGGAUGCAGUUUGACUGAAGGACAAGAUUGUCUGCUGAAAGGGGGUGAAAGUCAAGCCUGGGGAAGGAUGAAAGACCUUGUGAAGAAGAGUAGGGGAAGGAACCAAAGCAGACUGGGGCUGGUGUCAGCUUCCUUGAAAAGGUCAUGCCCACAGCUCUAUAGGCCAGAUGCAGUCUCUUUGGAUAUGAGGAAAGUGGAGAGGAAUUCAAUGAUUGCUUUGGGGCAAAGCUCAAGGAAUGAAAGCAGUUGGCCUUUCUGACUAGAUGGAGAUAAGGUAAGCAAGUCCCCNGAGUAGAAUUUCUGUCAUCAUGUAGCAACCCAGAGAAGGAGAAAGUAAUGUACCUGGUACAAUUUUUCAGUGAAACCUUGUAUAGACAGAUAGUAAUAGAAAAAUGGGCAAGUCAAGCCUCCAGUGAAAAGGAUCUUGCAUGAGAAUGAGAAGGAAAAAAGGGAGGAACAGAAAAGGAAGGAGGCAGUUGCCAUUAACACCUGCUGGCUCUCCAGGCCUUGCUCUUCCAGAAGCCUCUGCUGCAGAAGAGAGAGCAUCUGUUCCCAGGUACCCCAGUGUGAGAGACUGGGGCUCAACUGGUGGAGUGUCUGCCUGCUGCUCCUGCAGUUCCUGAUUAC
This 2720-nucleotide long non-coding RNA is filed under the name Salvator merianae (Argentine black and white tegu). Its description in RNAcentral is "lncRNA (ENSSMRG00000000886.1)". Lineage: Eukaryota; Metazoa; Chordata; Lepidosauria; Squamata; Teiidae. The record is from RNAcentral.